GACGAACGCUGGCGGCGUGCCUAAUACAUGCAAGUCGAACGAGAGCGACCGGUGCUUGCACUGGUCAAUCUAGUGGCGAACGGGUGAGUAACACGUGGGUAACCUGCCCAUCAGAGGGGGAUAACAUUCGGAAACGGAUGCUAAAACCGCAUAGGUCUUCGAACCGCAUGGUUUGAAGAGGAAAAGAGGCGCAAGCUUCUGCUGAUGGAUGGACCCGCGGUGCAUUAGCUAGUUGGUGAGGUAACGGCUCACCAAGGCCGUGAUGCAUAGCCGACCUGAGAGGGUGAUCGGCCACAUUGGGACUGAGACACGGCCCAAACUCCUACGGGAGGCAGCAGUAGGGAAUCUUCCGCAAUGGACGCAAGUCUGACGGAGCAACGCCGCGUGAGUGAAGAAGGUUUUCGGAUCGUAAAACUCUGUUGUUAGAGAAGAAUAAGUGCUAGAGUAACUGUUAGCGCCUUGGCGGUAUCUAACCAGAAAGCCACGGCUAACUACGUG
Molecule: ribosomal RNA, 498 nt
Filed under: uncultured bacterium
Lineage: Bacteria
Description: partial 16S ribosomal RNA
Rfam family: Bacterial small subunit ribosomal RNA
Source: RNAcentral